Molecule: long non-coding RNA, 1307 nt
Organism: Salvia splendens (bonfire salvia)
Lineage: Eukaryota; Viridiplantae; Streptophyta; Magnoliopsida; Lamiales; Lamiaceae
Exons: 3
Source: RefSeq, a predicted model, not a curated record
CUUCACCAAUAUAAGCGGCGUUCCUAAUAUUUUCCCCCUUUUGCUUUCUCAAAGAUUCUGCCUCAGACGAAUUCUUUGGCAACCUAUCUGUGUGAUAAAAUUUGGUGGUUUGAAGAGUGAGAUUGUGAUAGCAAGAUGAAAAAAGUUGGUAAGUUGAAGAAGCCCCCAAAAGUAGAAGACGUUGCAGAACAGGAAAAGAAGGUCUCUAACCAGAAAGGGAAAAGGAAGGGAAGUGAGAUUGAUGAAAUUUUUGCUGCAAAUAAACGCAAGAGAGUGGAAUCGGAGAAGAAGGCUGAGGCCGAAACCAAAGCCAAAUCCAAAGUAGCUGCUGCCAAUUUAAAAAAGAAGGAAAAGAGUAUGAAGAGCCGCUCCUUCGAAUUUUCAGCCGGCACUUCUGGUCCGAGGAAGAGGACUGCCGACGGGCUGGCUGUGUUUUCAGAGGAAGAGCUGGGCAUAGGGAAGCCAGAUGCAGGAGGAACUGCUUUGUGCCCUUUUGAUUGUGGCUGUUGUUUUUGAUGGAUGCUGAUCAAAAUUUGUUAGCUGCUUAAGUAUUUGCUGCUCUUGUAACUUUGAAUGCUAGAAGAUAGAUUGUUGUUAUACAUGAUUUCCAAAUUGAGUCAUCAUUUAUGUGUUUUAGUCUGUGAAAGUGGUGGACUAUGUUUUUUCUGCAAUGUUGAUGAUGCAUUAGCAUUGAUAGCCUUACCGAAACUGAAGGUGCUCGUUUGUAUGGAAUAACCGGCAGCCGUCUGCAGUCUAACUCUAAUUCAAUUGAUCUUUCUUGUUUAUGCAGCGACCAGUUCAUCGUUAACAUGAAUGCAGUAUUGAGGAUUCAAAGAGGCUCUAUAUGUACAUUAAUGGAGAUGUGAGUUCUUCAUUUACAACUUGGUACAUACAUUUUUGACAACACUGGUCAGGUUUGAUAAAUUAAUUUUUCUUGUAUCUCAAGCCUCAUUUUGUUCUUGCCACCAACUUAUAGCAUGUAUUUGAGAACACCUAUUUUCAGACAGAUGAUAUUUGUAAUGAGCUGCAAGAAUAAGAGGCUAUCUUUUCAAGGAGUUGGCUCAGAUUUUGGUCUUGUGCAAGAUUUAAAAGUCAGUGUGCAAAAGAUCAUGGUUUUGAAUAUGGUCUCAUUGAUCGGAUAGUUAGGCCACCCAGUGUUGUCAAAAACGCGCCCGGGGAGCACUCGGGCCGUGGGGCGCAGUCGGCGCGCCCAGGGCGGUGGGAGCAACUAAGGGGGUGCUGUUGGGGCGUGCGUGAAUCCGUUUUUAUGAAGAGGGUAAGCUUAAACUUAUUCCUUUCUAUUAGUA